Cicer arietinum (chickpea) is the source of this 798-nucleotide long non-coding RNA. RefSeq lists it as uncharacterized. The record is from RefSeq and is a predicted model, not a curated record. NCBI's taxonomy places the organism in Eukaryota, Viridiplantae, Streptophyta, Magnoliopsida, Fabales, Fabaceae.
AAUACCUUUAGUUUCUUUUCUAAUUUCUAAGUAUUAUCAUUUUUAAGUUCUCUUCUAAUUUAUAUUUUUUGUGUGACCUCUUGACACUUCAACUCCUCCAAAUUCCUUUCUAAUUUUCUAAUUCCCUUCAAUUAUUAUUUUAUUCUCUUCCUCAUCUUCCACCUCAUUUGUCUCCCUCCUCUUCUGUUCUUUAUUUUAGUAUCUUCCUUUGUCUUUUUAAUCUCAUUUACAAAUUCAAACUCAUUUUAAUUUAUCCAUUUUUUCUAUUUCAUUUUCUUCUCAAGUUUUAUGAGUUCCAUUUUUUCUAUUGUAGUAGGAGAGGUAUAAACGGGCUGAAUUUAUUCACGCAUAUGUAAAACUUCUUAGAGAUAGGAGGAAAGGUGAAGAAUGGCGUGCAACAAAAAGCUUAAUGGAAGCAGCUACAGCAUUCAAAGAAUGAAAAUACUUGCAAUGAGCUUCAACAAGUUCAUAUCUUUUCUCCACAGCUAGUUUCAACUGACGUUUCCUCUCUCUACAGAUAGCUACAACUUCUUCUUCCUCUAGUUUAGAGGCAACACAGCCCAUGUUUUUCUCACUAACCCUUAUCUUUAGCAAAGUUUGUUUUUAUUAGAAGAAGAUAGAGAAAGAAAGAAAGGUUCUCGUGUUGUUGUUUUCUAUGACAAAAAAAUGAGGGAACUUUGAGAGAGAGAGAGAGAAGGAACAUUCAAGAGAGAGUUUAGGUGUUCAUUUCAAAUUCAUUUUGAUUUUGAUCUUAGGUAUUCAUUUCAAUUUGAUUUUGAUUUUGAUCUGGGUUCAUGA